RNAcentral lists this ribosomal RNA (815 nucleotides) under uncultured organism. Its description in RNAcentral is "bacterial SSU rRNA". It matches the Rfam family "Bacterial small subunit ribosomal RNA", at positions 24 to 828 of the family's 1533-position model. The record is from RNAcentral.
UCAGAACGAACGCUGGCGGCGCGUNUAAGCAUGCAAGUCGGACGGUAGGGUGGUGCUUGCACUACCUGAGAGUGGCGAACGGGUGAGUAACACGUAGAUAUCUACCUUUGGGAGUGGGAUAGCCUGUAGAAAUAUAGGGUAAUACCGCACGAGGCCUGUUGAAGAGAUUUGGCGGGUGAAAGGAGCAAUUGUUCCGCCUGGAGAUGAGUCUGCGGUCCAUUAGUUUGUUGGUGGGGUAAUGGCCUACCAAGGCGAUGAUGGAUAGCCGGCCUGAGAGGGUGUACGGUCACACUGGGACUGAGACACGGCCCAGACUUCUACGGGAGGCAGCAGCUAAGAAUCUUCCGCAAUGGGCGAAAGCCUGACGGAGCGACGCCGCGUGAACGAUGAAGGCCGAGAGGUUGUAAAGUUCUUUUCUUGGUGAAGAAUAAAUGUAUGAGUGGAAAGCGUACAAGAUGACGUUAGCCGAGGAAUAAGCCCCGGCCAAUUACGUGCCAGCAGCCGCGGUAACACGUAAGGGGCGAGCGUUGUUCGGAAUUAUUGGGCGUAAAGGGCGUGUAGGUGGUUUUAUAAGCCUGGUGUUAAAAUCUCUGGCUCAACCAGAGUCGUGCGCUGGGAACUGUGAGACUAGAGUUCAGGAGGGGAAGCUGGAAUUCCUGGUGUAGGGGUGAAAUCUGUAGAUAUCAGGAAGAACACCGGUGGCGAAGGCGAGCUUCUAGCCAUGGACUGACGCUGAGGCGCGAAAGCGUGGGGAGCGAACAGGAUUAGAUACCCUGGUAGUCCACGCUGUAAACGAUGUGCACUGGGCGUAGGAU